Molecule: ribosomal RNA, 1403 nt
Filed under: uncultured bacterium
Lineage: Bacteria
Description: bacterial SSU rRNA
Rfam family: Bacterial small subunit ribosomal RNA
Source: RNAcentral
AGAGUUUGAUCCUGGCUCAGGAUGAACGCUAGCUACAGGCUUAACACAUGCAAGUCGCGGGGCAGCGUGUCGUCAGCUUGCUGACGAUGGCGGCGACCGGCGCACGGGUGCGUAACGCGUAUCCAACCUUCCCCCUACUCGGGAACAGCCCUCCGAAAGGAGGAUUAAUGCCCGAUGAGGUCCUUCGACGGCAUCCGACGAGGACCAAAGGAGCGAUUCGGUAGGGGAUGGGGAUGCGUCCGAUUAGCUUGACGGCGGGGUAACGGCCCACCGUGGCGACGAUCGGUAGGGGUUCUGAGAGGAAGGUCCCCCACACUGGAACUGAGACACGGUCCAGACUCCUACGGGAGGCAGCAGUGAGGAAUAUUGGUCAAUGGGCGCAAGCCUGAACCAGCCAAGUAGCGUGCAGGACGACGGCCCUAUGGGUUGUAAACUGCUUUUAUGCGGGGAUAAAGUUGGGGACGUGUCCCCAUUUGCAGGUACCGCAUGAAUAAGGACCGGCUAAUUCCGUGCCAGCAGCCGCGGUAAUACGGAAGGUCCGGGUGUUAUCCGGAUUCAUUGGGUUUAAAGGGAGCGUAGGCCGGCCUUUAAGCGUGCCGUGAAAUGUCCCGGCUCAACCGGGGCACUGCGGCGCGAACUGGGGGCCUUGAGUGCGCGGAACGUAUGCGGAAUUCGUGGUGUAGCGGUGAAAUGCUUAGAUAUCACGAAGAACCCCGAUUGCGAAGGCAGCAUACGGCAGCGCUACUGACGCUGAAGCUCGAAGGCGCGGGUAUCGAACAGGAUUAGAUACCCUGGUAGUCCGCGCGGUAAACGAUGGAUGCCCGCUGUCGGCGAUACACGGUCGGCGGCCAAGCGAAAGCGUUAAGCAUCCCACCUGGGGAGUACGCCGGCAACGGUGAAACUCAAAGGAAUUGACGGGGGCCCGCACAAGCGGAGGAACAUGUGGUUUAAUCCGAAGCAACGCGAAGAACCUUACCAAGUCUUGACAUCCCUGUGACCGGCCUUUAACCGGGCCUUCCCUUCGGGGCACAGGAGACAGGUGGUGCAUGGUUGUCGUCAGCUCGUGUCGUGAGAUGUUGGGUUAAGUCCCGCAACGAGCGCAACCCUUAUCCUUAGUAGCCAGCACGCAGUGGUGGGCACUCUGGGGAGACUGCCAGGGAUAACCUGGAGGAAGGUGGGGAUGACGUCAAAUCAUCAUGCCCCUUAUGAUUUGGGCUACACACGUGCUACAAUGGCGUAAACAAAGGGAAGCGAGAGGGUGACCUUAAGCAAAUCCCAAAAAUAACGUCCCAGUUCGGACUGUAGUCUGCAACCCGACUACACGAAGCUGGAAUCGCUAGUAAUCGCGGAUCAGAAUGCCGCGGUGAAUACGUUCCCGGGUCUUGCACACACCGCCCGUCAAG